CUGCACCAUUCCCAGCUGGAUUUUCCAUGGAAAAUUUGGAUUUUGGGAGCAAACUCGACCCUGUGGGGAUCUGUGGCAGGUGGAAAAAUGGGAAUUUUGUGUGGGAAUGUUCCAAAAUGGAUUUUUAGAAUCCCAAAUUCCUUGGGAUCGGAUUUUCCCGGGAUGCUUUCCCCAUGUCCUCUCGUGUCCCCAAUGUCCCCAAUGUCCCUGUGUGUCCCCAAUGUCCCUGUGUGUCCCCAAUGUCCCCAUGUCCCCAAUGUCCCUGUGUGUCCCCAUGUCCUCUCAUGUCCCCAUGUCCUCUCAUGUCCCCAAUGUCCCUGUGUGUCCCCCUGUCCCCAAUGUCCCAAAUGUCCCCAUGUCCCCAAUGUCCCUGUGUGUCCCCAUGUCCCCAAUGUCCCUGUGUGUCCCCAUGUCUCCAAUGUCCCCAAUGUCCCCAAUGUCCCCAAUGUCCCCAAUGUCCCCGUGUCCCCGCAGGGAUUCCCGUGGCAGGCGGUGAUGUCGGACAAGGGCGGCAGCAUGGACGGCAGGACGGACAUUGUCAACGCCUGUCCAGCAGCCCUGAGGACAUGUCAGCCGAGGAGAGCCGGUGUCACUGAGCUGUCCCCAUGGCAGUGUGACACUGGUGGCACUGCGAUGUCCCUGUGCCAGUCUCACACAGGUGACACUGAUGUCCCCUGUCCCCAGGCAGUACAGUGACACUGGUGUCACUGUGCUGUCC
Molecule: long non-coding RNA, 718 nt
Filed under: Zonotrichia albicollis (white-throated sparrow)
Lineage: Eukaryota; Metazoa; Chordata; Aves; Passeriformes; Passerellidae
Description: lncRNA (ENSZALG00000001857.1)
Source: RNAcentral